Molecule: non-coding RNA, 29 nt
Filed under: Callithrix jacchus (white-tufted-ear marmoset)
Lineage: Eukaryota; Metazoa; Chordata; Mammalia; Primates; Cebidae
Also listed under: 1 other name
Source: RNAcentral
ACGAGAUAAAUCAGUUGGAUCAGUGGAGA